This is a non-coding RNA of Camelina sativa (false flax), 973 nucleotides long. The record is from RefSeq and is a predicted model, not a curated record. NCBI's taxonomy places the organism in Eukaryota, Viridiplantae, Streptophyta, Magnoliopsida, Brassicales, Brassicaceae.
UGGCAUAUUGAGUUCUUCACACAUUUUGUCUGUAAUGUUCAGCAGUUAAUAAUUUUGGUCUGAGAAUCGUCUUUACUCGUGGAAUGCCAUGUCAAACUGUUGCUUAUAUGUUGGAUCACGAAAAGAAACACUUGGAUUUGGGGUCUCAUGUUACCUGCUUCUUUCAUGCCCCACAAUCUUUGUUGGCAGGUUGAGGCUUUCUGUUGAGCAUUAUCAACAUCAUAAGUGCUGCUAGAUGGAUUCUUGUUGCAACACUUUGGAAGAAAAGCUGUAUAGAUUUCAUUGGAAAGCAACUGGUUUCGGAAUGUUUUAAGAUGCGACCUGCAAGGUCAGGCUUUUGAAAAGUCAACAAAGUUGUGCUGAUUGCCAAUGAUGCAAAAGAAUCUUUAUGGAGAGAUUCGUCGUUCGUUGUUCAACACCUCAAAGUCGUCGUCUUUUCCAUUUCACUUCCAAUAGGGAUACUUUCCAGACAGCUGCAUCAUCGGCAUCCUUUUAUGGCGUUUCCUUCUUCUUCCUCGUCGUCGUAUCCCUCCAAGCGCCAGUUCGACGUGUUUGUGAGUUUCAGGGGCGCAGACACUCGUAAUACCUUCACCUCUUACCUCCUUGAGUCCCUACACCGAAAAGGUAUUGAUGCUUUCUUUGACGGGAAACUACUGCGAGGAAAGGACAUCUCAGUUCUCUUUGACAGGAUCCAGCAAUCUAAGAUGUCAAUCGUUGUCUUCUCGGAGAACUAUGCCAACUCCACCUGGUGCUUGGAGGAACUCUGGAAGAUAAUGCAGUGCAGGGAUAAAUUUGGUCAUGGGGUUAUACCAAUCUUCUACAAAGUCAAGAAAUCUGAUGUGGAGAAUCAGAAGGGGAGUUUUGAAGCUCCCUUCCUGAGCCCUAAGGAGUUUUUUAAGGGAGAUGGGCUCAAACUUGGGGCAUGGAAGGAAGCUCUGAGGACUGCUUCCAAUAUCCUCGGCUUUGUGCUUCC